RNAcentral lists this long non-coding RNA (17773 nucleotides) under Podarcis lilfordi (Lilford's wall lizard). The record is from RNAcentral. Lineage: Eukaryota; Metazoa; Chordata; Lepidosauria; Squamata; Lacertidae.
CACAAGUGGGGAGAACACUGUUGCACUUAGCACCUUCCUUUGGGAUUGUUGAAGAAAUCUGGAUGACCUUGGAGAGAAGAGGAUGCUGGACUAGAUGGGUUAUUGGCCUUAUGCACUGGAAUGCUCCACCAUACAAAUACCUACAUAAACUAGAUGUCAGGGAUCAGUAUUCUAGCCUUGCCUUCUUCCUGACACAUGAGUUCUCUAUGCUUGUUUUCUAUUUUUCUAUGGAGGAGCACUCCAUUGUUUGAGUCUCCACCUCUGCUCUGAAGUUCAAGUACAGGUCCACCACUUCACUGGAAGAUAGCCUACAUGGAGCUGUACUUAAAGGAGGACAGAAAGAGAAGAGACUUGUCCUGUUACCCCUUUGCUAUGAAGAGCCAACAAGACAUGGACAAAAACGACCAAUUACCACCAUACAUAGAGUCACAAAGUACAGGUACGACAAAAUACUAAACUUGCCCAAUCAGAGAGACGUGUAUCAUGUCAACUUCAAUUCCCACCACUGCAAAAGAGAUGCUGCUGUCAAUGUAUUUUUGCAGCAAAAAUUAAUGUAUCCUGACAGCAGGUCACUCAUCUAGAAAAUCUCACCUUGCAGAAUUCAAGAAUCUCUUUGUCUUUCUUUAUCUCUGUCCCCUCAGUUGCACCAAGUAUUAUCCUUCCAUCUAUCUACAGGCUGGUGUUAGUAUAAAUGGUCUCUCAGGUUUUUGCCCAUCAAGUUCACAAAGUUAAGUACCUUUCCUUUCACUUUAGUUAAUUUACAGAUGAAACUUCCUAGGGGGGAGAGAGAGAUAGAAAGCACACAUUUAUCCUUAGGACUUCACUGGGCAAGUUUGUCUAGGUAGGGCUCCUCUGUCAGGGAUGGUCAGGUUUUAUGGCUUCAGGGCCCUGACAGUGUCAUUUUAAAUGGGCAGCAACACAAAACAAAUAUCUUCCAUCCAUGCUUAAAGCACCAAGAUCACCACAAACCAUCCCUCUUUCAAGGUAUGGGGAGCAAGAGCUGAAAUUAAACCCAUCACAGCUAGAUUACCCGAAAAUCUGGUUUCUUUUAGCUCAAGUACCUCUAUUCUCUCUCCCCCAACCCCCGCCACCGAAGAUUUCAGUUCUAAGCAAAGUUUCUCUAAUGGCUCAAAAUUAAGUUUCAUCCCCAAUUAAUCUUCAGCCUUAAGCAGCUACUCCAAAGGUCACUGCUAUUAACUCUAAAGUAUGUGAUCUUUCGCUAGAGUUCACUCAAAAUGUGUGUGCAUAUGGAUUGGGUGUGGAGAGAUACUGGGCACUGGAUUUUAGAUGGAAUGGACAGAGGCCUCUUGGUCUCCUGGACUGAGAUCAGGCUAGAUCAGGGCCCAUCCCAUACAGAAAUGGAUCCAUGGUGAUGAGAGUCAGAAUACGGAACCAUUAGAGUGGGACUAAAUUUGGGCUAGCCCAACUCAUUGUAAAUUAUUGAAGAAUGUGGGCAGAUGAGAGGAGGAAACAUCUAGAAGGACUCUGUUCUUUGCAGGCAUACCACAAAAGAGAAUAAGGCCCUAGAUAUUUCUGAACAUAUUGGUAGUUUCUAGGGAUGCUGCGAGCAACAAAGACCACAUUGCCCAUGGUUCAAAGUAACUUUGGGUGCUGCUGCAAGCAGAGAGGUCCUUGCUCACCGUACAAAGAGUGUUACAAGACUUAAGAUCUCUAGGUCUUAGCUCAGAAAUAUCCAAUAAAAAAUUGCUUGUUGAAAAGAAUUUAAGAAGCAUUAUACACAUUGAUGAUGUCAUUAUUGGGAUGCUAAGUUAUGUGGGGAGCCUCUACAAGCAGAGGAGGUAACCUCUUCAGACUCUGCCCUCCACUUUGUGGAGAAUGAUGGAAAUAGUGAUGUGGUGGGAGCCUGGCUUAGCACACUCAUACCCACACACCUUGCUCACAGCUAGCCUUUACACACAGCCAGCACAUCUGAACAGCAUUAUUUUCUGGCCCCAGCCUGGAGUGUCAUCUUGAGGCUCAACAGUGGGGCAGAUUUUGAUAGUUCGUUUCUCAUCAUCCUAUUUCUUUAUCUAUACCAAAUUUAGCUUGAGAUUAAGAAUGGGCAAAUCCAUCAAUUUUCCUUUCUCUCAGUUUGGUUUCUCUCAUAUUCUGAUUUGAGCUUCCAAAGCAAUCUGCACCAGGACAAUUUAUCAGCAUUUUAGGGCAAUUUUUCUACUCAUAAAGACAUUUUUGCAUUUCGUCUGGACUAAUAUACACUCUCUCUUUUUUUAAAAAAAAAGGCAAUUUGCCCAUACAUAAUGCAUUGCUCUACGCUAUUUUCACAUAUAGAUGCAUCUUUAUGAACUUUCACCCAAUAUGUGCAUUUUUUGUACACAUUGCAUGGUUGGAAAACUGCAUCACAAAAUUCAAACAAAUGCAAAUUUUGAAAGAUCACUGUGUUUCAGUUCACCUAUUAGUUCAAGAAGAGCAAAUUAAGUAGCUUCUCAUUAAAAUGCAAAGAAAAUAUAAUUUCUAUUCCAUCCCUACUUGGGAUAAAAACUUUGAAAUUGUGUACCCCCUGCAAAACACACACUCUAUUUUGAACACCAGCAAAUUAAUUAUUUGUACAAUAUGCACCCACUUAGAAAAUAACAGCUUUCUCUCCCUCUUUCUAAAAUGUACUUGAAAGUUUACCAGCAGCUGCUCUAAUUUGGCAGAUUCCUUUAAAACCUCCACCAGCUCCCAUUAGAGGCAACUAAUGGAAUAUUAUCCAUCAUCACUGAGAUCCCAUACUUUUCUCCCUGCCAUCUCAUACUCUCCUCUCUUUUUGCUCUCCAUCAGCAAGUUCACACUCUGAAUAAAUCCAGAGCUGCUGGAAAAACAGCUAAAGUGCACUUUGGAGUGACGGGUGCUAUGAUAAACAACCUGCCAAUCCUCAACAUACUAAUGAAUGACAUCCCAAACAGUUUGCAUCAUCUUGUGGGAAAUGAGAUACCAAUGCACAUCAUCCACUUGUUUGCAUUGCAUGAGCAUGCCUCAUCUUCACCUUUCUCAGUGAUGGGUGAGCAGUCUUGUGCUUGUCCCAAAAAUGCACUGUUGCUGCUGUCAAUGCAUGUAGCAACCACAACCGCACCACCACCCACAGCACAAAUGCUUCUUCCUCAUCUACACCAGCGAUAUUUUUUAGCUGCAGGCCAGUCCACUGUCCCUCAGACUUUGUGGCGGGCUGGAGAGGCGGCACCAGGGGAGGCAGCUUGAAGAAGAGGCAUGGGGGGCAAGUAGUCCUCCUCCCCACCCCCCAGCCCCAGCCUCAGCCGUUGCGCUUACCUUCCCAGAGGCUGCCACCACUGCCCCCGCUGCUGCCACCACUGCUGCUGCUGCUGCUUCUUGUGGGUAGGCAGAGAGAACUCAUCCGCUCUGCUCUCUGGCCCACGGGAGCACCAGGGUGGCGGGGGGCGGAGAGAGAUGAGCGGCGUGAAAGGGCUGGCUCCGGAGAGGGGCUGCUUAAAAUGGCGCUCAGCCAGCUGAGCCCAGCCCCCUUCCUCCUCUAGGCAGGGCAGGGAGAAGCCAGGAGGAGGGAGGGAGGAGGCACCGCCGUGGUGUGUGUGAGGGGGGGGGAUGGAAUGGCACAGGGGGAAAAAAUGGUGCAGCCCGAACGAACAGAAUCCCCAUGCCGAUCCACAGACAGUCUGCGGGCCGGAUCCUGAAGGCAAUUGGGCCUGAAUUGGCCUGCGGUCCUUAGUUUGCCGACCCCUGAUCUACACAUAUGGCUGAUUUGGGAAAGGGUGGUGAUUUACACACAUUAGAGAACCUGCACGUGAGGUGGGUGGGAGACCUUGAAUGGGACAGAUUUCCCCCUUGCAUAGAAGAACUGUAUGUGAGUAGAGAUCUUUUGCAUACAGAUGGUGGCUGCAGUGGGUGUGGCUAGCCAGUGUUGCCUCACAACUAGGGAUGAGAGAAGAUUUGAUUCAGUUCUCAUUUGAAGGUGAACUUAUAAAAAGCCAUGCUUUCUGAAAUAUUGCACCAGCCCAAUGCAAACAUUGCUCAAAAUGUGCACUUCUCUGAAACUUGCAGUGUGUGUCUCCAGCAAAGUCGUGAGUAUAAAAAUGCAUACACCAGAGCAAGGUGUGCACUGAAAUGCAUUAUAUUAUGGGAAAUUGCUUUGCAGAAAUGUGCGUGUGUCGGACAAAAAUCACAUAUGACCAUGUAUAUAUUUGCACUAAGAAAUUUGCACUAAAAUGUUGGCGACUUUUCAUGAGAACUUUUUUUUAAAAAAGCAAAGUGAUAUGAGCAUGUAGAGAAGUGACCUUAUGACUCUUGAGUGCUAAGAGUUCUUUGCAUACAUUUUCUUGUUCCUUACAGUAGUUCUGUAAGGUAGUGGAUCUGUUGGUUCACACGGAAACCGCACACAUUGCAGUCAGGAUUGAUCCAAAAAAUAGCUUGUAGAGGCUGGACUUAAACUUAUAGUCCCACCUUGGUCACUAAAUUACAGGAUAACAAAAAUAGAGGAGAUAGCAUUCACAUUUGCCUAAAAGCCCCAAACCAGUAAUGGCUGGUGGUCAUUGGGACUGGUGGGGUGAAGGGCUAGGAGACUAACAGUGAGUGGAACCAGAGCCAGUUAUAAGCAGAGCUGCUACAAAAGUCAAAACUGAGACCUUAGAAGGAGGAAGUUGGGAGCCAGUGCUGCCCCUUGGACAGGUGGUAAAUAAGAAAGAAAGGGGCUGGCUGAGGGCAGCUGGAGAUUGGCGAGGCAGUGCCCCAUUUGCCCCAAUGCACCAGCCUUUGCUGUUCCCUUUUGUGGUGGGGGCAGGCCUGUUCAGAUUCAGUUGUGAGGGAAUGGCCUGCAGUGCACAUGCUCAAAUAGCCCUCUUUAAUUAGCACUCCUCUUUCCCUGGGAUUGCCCAAUCGGAGCCUCCUAAGCAGCAUCUGGGGCUGGACACUGGUGAGCCCUCGCUCAAAUCAAGUCCUUCAAAGACUUCAAACUCUUUCAAGAUCAAAGCAUUUCGGUAGAGAGUGCCUUACGGGGCCCGGAAGAUACGAGGAGUGGGAGCGAAACAAUUAAUUAAUUCCAUCUUAUUGUCCCUCUAAUUAAAUCAAGAGCAGAGAAUGUCAGGUCCCCAGCUCAGAAUUACCGCAUACUCUAACUCUUCCCUACAUCUCUAUAAGAUGCAGUCCCAGAAUUAAUGAGCAUAUAAAUUAAAGGAGGAGGGGAAGCGCUCACACAGAAAAGGCAAUAUACCCGGCCCUGAGCCAAAAAAAAAAAAAAAGGAGCCAAGGCACCCAAGGUAUACAUAUCUGUAUGCACACGCACACACACGCACACACACGCACACAGAAAAAGAGAGAGAGAGAGAGAGAGAGAGAGAGAUGGUAUGGGGAGCACACAGCCAUCCAAAUGUUGUUGGGCUCCAACUCCCAUCAGUCCCAGUCAGCAAGGCCAAUGGUCAGAGUUGAUAGGACUUGUCAUUCAAAGGCAUUUGGAGGGUCAAAUGUUUCCCAGUUGUGUCUUAGACACAGCCCAAUCUUUCAUUACAAAGCAGCACUUUUUAUACAGGAUGAAUUUACACUCUCCUUUAACUUUUAUUUGUAUUAUUGGAUGAAAUAUCAUAAAUGACGCAAUCUUGAUUUUUACCAUUGCCACUUGGCAACUCCCCUGCCACCACUCCUUCCUCACAUUACACUUGAAGACUUGGGUUUCUUCUUUUUCUUUUUCCUUUUCCUUUUUUUCCCCUUUUCCUUUUUGCAUUUCUGUACAUCUCCAGUGGCUUAUUUGGUGAGGGAUUCUCUUUGUUGAGCUUUUUCCUUUACUUGUCUCAUAUUUAGCCUUUAAAUUAUUCAUUGCAUAAUCCUUUAGCAAGUUUCACGCAUUUUCAUACACUUGUUCGGCUCGCUUGAAACACAUCCUGACUGGUUCCUCUCAGUGCUCUGUGUUGAAAAUUAAUCUGCCACUAAUAAAACAUUUAAAAGGUGUCGUCUAGCACGGACUGGGAUGGAACAACCGUCUCAUGAAUAAAUACAUACACCUUUUUUUUUUUUAACAAGGCAUGCCUGCCUCCAAAAAAUGAUUUAAUAAGCACAGCAUCUUUGAAAGCUGUGCACAUUCAGAGCUCCCAAUAGUUUUUGCAUUGACCCUUUGUGAUGAUAAAACAAACAGGUGAUGGCGAAUGCAAAUGCAAUGCAGAACCUGAGUGCAAAAGCAUUUCCCCCAUUUGUAAUUUAUCAGCAACUGGUAUUCAGAGGCUUUCUGCCUCCACCAAUGAGGCAGAGCACAGCCAUAAUGUCCAGUAGCCACUGAUCUAUUCCACCAGAAUAGAGACUUAGUGCAACUGUGCUCUCCCCCUCUGCAAUUCACACCAUUUCGUGUACCUGUACACCAGUCCUUCAUCUCCUGAACUUAAAACAUUUUUCCUACCCUCUAAAAAAAAUCCAUAUGCUGACUUUCCUCACUUACCUUUCGAGAGAGAAAAUGUGCUUCCUUCUACCUUUUGACUAACUGCUGAUUUUACAAUUUAAUCUCAGUCGCCUCCUGGCAUCCAUUUGUUAAGUACUUGUUAAGGUGCCAAAACAAGCAAUGCCCUUGCACAUUUGGCUUUUUGAUCUUGCUACCACAAAAUUGGCCAUCUAUCAGGACUGACUGAAUGCUUGCCACCGGGGGUGAAUGGAUCUGCCCAUGCAAGAUAGUAAAUUUGUGGUCACUCAGCAGACCUAAUUUUACUUGCCACAGAUGGAAAAUAAAGGUGAAGGAGAAUUACUGUAGGUGAGGCUAAAUCACUGCUUUCCGCUUGUUCUCUUCUCAUGAAUGUAUGAGGCUAAAAAGGAAUGUCUUCAUCAGUUUCAGACACUGAUUGCUACGGCUGGGGAAAAGAAAACCUCUGGAUCUGUAUUGAUAUGUACCAGGUGCAGAUGGUGUCCAUUGAAACUGGUAGGGGGGGAGGCAGGGAGACCAACAGCAGAUGGCACCAGAGCCAAUGACAGGCAGAGCCAACUGAUUCUGGAUUAGCCCCCAUCCUCCUCCCUGCUGAGUUCCACAAGGGCAAUACAAAGAAGAAGGGGGAGGAGGAAGCUAACAGACAGCGCCACCCUCUGGACUUAUUGUAAGUGGGAAGGCAAGCAGGUGAGAGCUGGGGAGGCCAGUGAGGUUGGUGGUGCAGUGCACCAUUUUCUUAAAUGGAUUUAUUUUAAUUUAAUUUCUAGCUUGUUCCAAGCAAAGUGUUAACAUAUAGCCUUACAAAUAAGUUCACUUCCUGGCUUAUGGAUCAAUUGCAUUUAUACCCCACCUUUUGACCACCGCACCUCCAAAGCAGAUAUAGGACACAAACUUUGGACAAAGAUUAUAUUAAUGUAAAACACAACUCUGAGUAUAUGCAAAACAACAACAGCAGCAGCAGCAACAACAACAGCCAGGUUAAUUAAAUAGGAAUAUGCAAUAUGAUCACAUCUUACACACAUUCAACUUGUGUGAUUUUGAUCAUACCUGAUUGAAGGUCGGCUGGUUGAGAUUCAGCAAGCAAGGCAGGAGAGCUUCAAAGCUUUUUUCCUGCUGGGUUUUCCAGACACAAAAAGAGCUUUUAAGCACUCAGUCUUGCUUGGUGGGCAAGGCCUGGUCAGCACACAAGCUCCAGAAGGCUAGCCAUACUUGCACGGGGGCAGUUUGAGUAUACAUGUUUUUGCAAAUAUGUGGAACCCUUGGAACCGACCCCCCACAUAAGGUGCAGUUGUAUUGCUGCUGGAGUAGGGAAGUUCCCUAUGUUAUGAGGGAUCAAGUUCCUCCCUACACCUGAGCACAUUUGCAGGCAUGGCUUCAGAGAAAGGGACUGGAAGGGAUCCUUCCUCCUUGCUCUGAACACCUUGCGUAUAAGAGCUCGACAAGUACACCACGGCCCUGCCGCCUCAGCAUCCCACCACAAGCAUGCAUGCCAAAAAGCACCCUCCAUGAUUCCUGCAAAGCGUAGAGUGACCAAGCGUGUCAUUAACCCAAUUACACCUCAUUUGGCUAUCUCACCCCUCUUAAUCUGUCUUUCCCAACCAGACUAACAGGCAAUUAAACCAAAACAAACUACGAUACUCCUGAAACAAGACUCCCAGCAGUAUGAAGUAGGCAAAAAAGGAGAGUCCAGACAGUGGCGGACCCUGAGGUCUCAAAUUUCAGUAGCGCCCUGUGAAACACCAAAUUUGGCACCCCCACCUUCCAUUCUACACCAUAGUUGCAGUGCCCUGGAGGCUCUGUGCCCAGUGUGACCAAACUAGUUGUGCUUCCCUGAGAACAUUUAGGGGCUCCCCUCAAAAUUCCUACUCAUUCUCUAAAGAGGUGACUAACAAAGCCCAUAUUGCCUUGAGAUGGGAGACACUACAAAGAAAGGACCGCACCAUUUGGAGGAGAUGCAAGCUUAUAAAACCAGGUUGUCUCCUCUCCCGACUAGUGGCCACACCAGCUCCUCCCCUGGGCAAAACCAACUGAGCCUUCUUGGAAAGGGAAGCUGGGGUGUGGCAAAUUCUCUGGGUGGGACAGGCGUUCUCAAAGGAGCUCAAGAUGGUGUGCACGGUUCUCUCCCCCCCUCUAAUCCCCACAAUAAACCCUGUGAGGCAGAUUAGGCUGAGAGGCAGUGGCUGGCCCAAUGUAACCCAGUGAGCUUCAUAGCCAAGUGAAGAUUUGAACCCUGGUUCUCGAGGUCCUAAUUCCCACACUGUAACGACUCCACCACACUGUAACACAGAAACAAGGUGCUGACACGUGCUGGGAGAAACCCAACAUUAUGCACAGAAGUGAAAUGCAACCUCCAUUUAGAACUAAUCAGGUCCAAGGGCCAAUAUGCCAUUCUUGUCCUCCAGUUUCUUAACAUAAAACAAACAUUAAGUGCAUUAAAUGUGAAAUUAAUGUUGCUUAUUUUUUUCUCUCCGAACAUAUUCCUUCCAUCAUCCGUCGCCCACAUGAAAUAUUGUCACUUCAAAGUAUGUAGCGCAAAACAUUUAAAUCAAUGUAUGGGUAGAGUGCUGGGGCUUUUGUGUACACACACAGUCACACGUCUCUCUCUCUCUCUAUGUAUAUAUAAAUAUACAUGUCAUUUCACAGUAAUUCAAACUGGGAGAGAGAGUAAAGGAGCGUUUCUCGUUAAGCAUGCCUGAGAUAAAUCAGAAACAGCAUCUGUGGAGCCAUGGAUCUCCUUUCACUGUGACAAAUAUAUUUAGAUGCAUGGUGUGCUUGGAUUAGAAAGCCAGGAGGGAGACUUUUUAAUCAUUGUUGGGAGGAAACUUCAAAAGGAAAGGAUCCUACACCCCCAAAUUGGCUUUCUUUGGGCACAAAGCCAGUCUCUUCUCACCCUGUCCCAAAGCCGAAACAAGACAGAGUCACAGUUCACAGCCUCCCUUUCCACAGCACCACUUAUAGCAAUACAAAAGCAACUUGAUUUGUGUGUCAAGCAGGGUAAACCUUAAUCCAUCUUCCAAGUCAGACAUUGCUUAGUGCUUGCAAAAGGGCUGCUGCCCUAACACAGACUGAAUGCAAAAGAGACAAUUUGAAUUAAGCCGUGUGGCAGAGAAAAUGAUAAGGCUACUAGCCAUGGUAGCUAUGCUCUCCUUUGGCAGUAAGAGAAAGCCAUACCCUGCAACAUUCCUCAGAUGAAAAUAGGGACAUUUAUCACUCCCCUGCAAUUGACCCCCCCCCAUUUUUGUGCCCCCCACAGAGCACUUCCUAUUAGAAGAAGAGUGAGUGCCACUAACACUUCACCAAUGGGACACACACCUGCCACCAUCCUGAGAAAACCCUAUUUGAUUUGAUUCUUUAGUAGAUUCACAAAAUGAAAAACACACACCAACAAAUAAAUUUUAGAAAGGGGAAAGAUUAGAUGCAGUCACACAAAGCAUUUAAAAAACAACAACCAAGACUCCUUGAGCUCCAUUCCUCCUUUCUUCCUGCCCAGGGCAACCAUGUCCCUUGCCUAGCGCUCAGAGCCAGCAGCCUUUCCUCCUCCACACCUGCUCUCCAGCAGCCACUAUGAGCUGCCCAAGGGAGGAGGCUGGCAGUGGUGGCCAUGGAGGGGCAACAGGAUGUCUCCUCACAGCCACCGCUGCUGCUUCUGCCAUCGCUCGGGAGAAGCUCCAGGUCAUCUGCCUCCCCAAGCUUGGUGGGACUGGAGCUGGCAGGGGAAAUAGGGACAUUCCAGGAUCAAAUCAUAAUUCCAGGACUGUCCCUGGAAAAUCAGGGAACUUGGAGGGUGUGGUGGAAGCAUGGGUUGCUGAGAAUCAUAAGUAGGGAGAAUAUUGCUUAUAGGUCCUGCUUGUAGGCUUUUCACCAGCCACUGUGAGAACAGAAUCCUGGACCAGAUGAGCCAUUGGCCUGAUCCACCAGACUUUCCCUACAUUCUCAUGCAGAAUGGGUGACAGAAAGGUUUUAACGAUAUAAGUUUAAUAUGCAUAAAAUGUUCUGUUUGAAUGCAUUGUAUUUAAAAUGCUUUGCAGAGCAGUUUGCAUUAGGCACAAGGGGUUUGUCUCUAGUAAAUGUGACAAGGAGAGUGCUUAAGGCUAAUUGAUGACUCAUCUUUGGAAACCUGAACAUAUCUUUCUCAGCAUGAGGUGAAAUUUGAGAAUUCAGCAUCUCGAUGGAGCCAGGAGCAAUAGCAGUAGAAGCUGAGCUCCACAAUGGUGAUCAAGCAAGAUGUUUGCACAGGAUCUCUCUCUCUGGGAUCAGAGAGAGGAAAGUUCUUGGGCUGAAUAAAGGACUAAAAUCAAGAUGAGACUGCAUUGUUAGUUUGUUAAAGAGUAAUGUGUUUGUUAAAGAGUAAUUUUAUAAUGUUUAUUUGUAACUAUUUUAUGAGUGUUUCCAGUAAAGCUCUAAAACUCAUGCUUGUGGCGAGGAACAUUCAUUUCUACUCUGCAGAAGUUUCAGAUCAGAGAUUUUGUUGCAGCAACAAAAGGGACUUCUCUCAAAAAUAUUUACUCCGUAUACUUAAGGCUAUGGUUUUCCCAGUAGUGAUGUAUAGAAGUGAGAGCUGGACCAUAAAGAAGGCUGAUCGCCGAAGAAUUGAUGCUUUUGAAUUAUGGUGCUGGAGGAGACUCUUGAGAGUCCCAUGGACUGCAAGAAGAUCAAACCUCUCCAUUCUUAAGGAAAUCAGCCCUGAGUGCUCACUGGAAGGACAGAUCCUGAAGCUGAGGCUCCAAUACUUAUCAUGAGAAGAGAAGACUCCCUGGAAAAGACCCUGAUGUUGGGAAAGAUGGAGGGCACAAGGAGAAGGGGAUGGCAGAGGACAAGAUGGUUGGAUAGUGUUCUCGAAGCUACCAGCAUGAGUUUGACCAAACUGCGGGAGGCAGUGGAAGACAGGAGUGCCUGGAGUGCUCUGGUCCAUGGAGUCACGAAGAGUCGGACACGACUAAAUGACUAAACAACAACAACAAUGGUGUGUUGUGCCCUUUGAGACUGAUGGGGCAGAAAUUAAGGAGUUCAGCAGUAGGUGGAGCCGGAGACCCAAUGCCAGGCAGACAGUACUAAUUCUAGUAUUGUCCCCAUCCUCUUUUCUGGUGAGUUAUACACUUGAGACCAAGGGGGAUGAAGCUAACACUCAGUGCUUCCACGCCCUGGAGUAAAUAAGUAGGAGAGCAGGUGAGGGCUGGCUGAGGGCAGGUUAAGGUUGAUGGGGCAGCGACCCAUUUGCCCUAGUGGAACAGCGCUCACUACCACCAGAGAAAUUCUGAACUUCUUUUGGGAGGGAGGAAACUUGGAAAUUCAAUAGAUAAAUAAAUGUUCAAGAUCUGACAGGUGAGGGGGCAUAGGAUAAUAAGACCAUGUCAGAUUUAGCAGUGGAAGAUCCCUGAGGAACAUUCCAUCACCACUGGUGAAGAUUUUAAGAGCAUUCAGGUGUGGGGAUUAUUGUGUUAUUUUUCCUGCUUAAAAUGCUUCUGCUCUAUAUGCUAAUCUUGCAUUACCUUUUGUGUUUAGGAUCUGUGGCUUUUUAAAUCAAAAUCUAGUCAUGUCACACUGAAUUGCAUUUACACCAUUGGACAUCAGCAGAUGUCAUCACACACACCACCACCCUUUAUGCCAGUGGUUCCCAAAUUUUUCCAUGCCAUGGCUCCCUUGGUUCCAUAAACCCAUCUCCAGUGCCCCCUACCCUAUGCUAUUAAAAAGCAUUAUUCAGAAUGGUGGCUUGCAAGACACACCAAGAUAGUAACACAAUAAAAUUCAAGGCAGUAGCAAUUAAUUGCACAUUUAUUCAAAAUCCAAUUAAAACUAUUUAGUUUAAUUAAGUAACUCAACCAAAUUAGUGAACUUGAUCCAGUGAUGUUAGAGUUUCAAAAGCUGACAGUCAUUUAUACCUCCAGUGCCGCCGCCCCCUAGCCAUUCCCUUGACUCUUAGUGCACCACCCCCUGCCCCGGUAAUCCCACUGUUCCCCAGGGGGUGGUACCACUCUAUCAGGGAACCACUGCUUUACAUGAACACUUCUGUUCCCUUGUGAUUUACCCAUGAAAAUGGCAGGAAAGAGCUGUGUGUUGGGAUACCACCCCAAAUUUCAUCCUGUGCUCCAGUUGAUUUUAUUUUGUUUUAUUUGAUGCAAGCAAUUAACCUUGAAAUGAAUGCUAAACUUCUGCUAGAUUCCACCAGAUUCCCAGAACUGGGUUUUAUGCCAUGUGAAAUAUCACAUAAAAUGUGGAGAUUAUCUUGUAAAGAAAUGUCAGGAAAGUGGAAUAAAGUGCUGUCUGAAUGCAGACAUGAAGGCAGAAUUAUAACGAUGGAGCUGAAUCACAGCUGGUGUAGGAAGGGAACACACACAAUACCCUAUAUUGCACCAGGCCAUGCCCACAUCAGUUUAACACCAGUCCCAGACUUGGCACAAGGACUUUCCCUCCCAUGGUUUCUUCCCAUCACACAAGGACUGGAUCAGCCUCAUAUCACCUCAUGCCAUUUAGUUCUUUAAUUCAGUCAGAAAAUAUAUCCAAAUCCUUUGCAAGUUCAAUAAGCAAAAUAUGGUCUUAACUCAGUUGUUCAGCUUUUUCCUAGAAGUUAUUUAUAUCUCACUUCAACAUUAAUAGAGCAAUAAAACAUAGUGUGCACCUUUGGAAUGUAAUGUGCCGCUUGUAUUUUAAAAAUAAAAUAAAAAUUAUUUUUUUUAAAUAAAAAAAAUAGUGGUGUGAUCCACACACUGAUUUUCAGGAAGGGGACAUAGGUGUGAAUCAAAUCAAUUGCAAAUCAGAGGAAAUUAUUUGAUUUGAAGUAGGGGGAAGGGGUGCUAAGCCAGCACAAAAUUAAUUCAGGCUGCAAUACUAUACUCCAGAGACAGGGAACCUUUUUCAGCCAGAGUGUCACAUUCCAUUGUGGGCAGCCUUCCAGGGCCAGUGGUGGGCGGGGCCAGAGGCAAAAAGGAGUAGAGCAACAAAUGUGUAAAUUCUACCAUUGUACAGUAGGCUAGUUUUUACACACACUCCUCUCUAACCAACAUCCAGGGUACCAAGAGAGAUUGAGAAAUUUCAAGGACACAUACCACUUCAAGCAAAACAUUUGUAGGAAAAAGCAGGGGUAGUGAGUGUGUGGUCUGGAAAAAGUUCUGAGGGCCAGAGGGAGAGGACUGAAGGGCCACAGUUGCUUGCCACCCACGCUAUAUCUGCUAACCUGGGAUAAAAACCCAUUGAAUUAAAUCUGAAUAGACAUGCAUGGGAUAGUGCCGUUGGCUCUGGGAUUCUGAAGAGAGCCUUCUUGAUCCUUGAGGUUUGUUAUUAAUAUUCUUUUGUUCAGCCACUGUUAAUAUAUUAGUAGAUGUCUAAUCAUAGAAUUGUAGGGUUGGAAGGGACUUCAAGGGGCAUCUAGUCUAACCCCCUGAAAUUCAGGAAUCACAGCUAAAGCAUCCCUGAUAGAUGGCCACCCAACCUUCCCUUAAAAACCUCCAGUGAAGGAGAGUUCAUCACCUUCCAAUGAUGUCCAUUUCACUGUGGCGCUGAUAUCAAUCUGUUUAUUUGAAACUCUUCACGUAAAGAGACAUACUGACUGUCAUAUUUCAGUAAGAACAUAAUACUUCCAGGAAAAUUAACACCACCAUCAAUGGAUAAAAUCUUGUUUAGUUUAGAUCUCAGGUACUAAACAGCUGUUGCCAGAAAUGGCAGCCAGAUGUUCCACAAUGAUACAAAACAUCAUGCUCAAUUUUAAAGAAGCUUUUCCUCCCUCCAAAACUGCAUUCUAAUAGCAGGAUGAUGCCUCUUUUAAAUCAAUGAUUUAUUAAAGCAAAAGAUAUUAAGUGCCUUUUACUUUUCACACUCUGGGGCCCUCCAGAACAUGCUAUUAUGCACAUCAGCAAACAUAGGAAAAUGUCUGUAACAAUCUGAGAACUCCUUGCUAGCUGAUAUGCCAAUUGUUAGACAUUCAUCUGCCUUUUUCCAUUGGAAACAGUUUCCCGCACACCUGUACAUUUUAACCUAGGUAGAGACAUGACUGUUUACUACCUGCAUUUUUCCCCCUAAAAAAGAGGGUAUUCUAAUCGGUUCUUGUUGCUCUGGUCUCCUUUUCCUCCUAGUCAGCGUGUACAAAGACUGCUAUAAAGAUAUCUCAUCUUUCAUUCUCAUGGAAUCAGUGCCUUGAAUUUCAAUGGAAAGGAUGAUAAAAUGUAUCAAAAUACCUCACUGUGUCUCAUUCAGGUCCACUUAGGCUCUUGGCUUUCCCGUAAUCAUUUCAAAACACUGAAGCAUUUGCUAUUUAAAAUGAAGCCAUAUACCCCGAUGGCAAGUCAUAAACCACUCAUUUUAAGCCACUUGAGCUGCCCAAUUAAAGCUGCUGAGCAUUGCACGGCAGCUGAUGUGGCAGCAACUCAAAGCUUUUGCCCAUAGAGACCUAUAUUAAGUGUAAACAGCGCUGAACAGGAAUGACAAAAGUUAAGGUGCAGGGACAUGUGUGAAGGGGUCCCCCCUCCCGCAUUUUCAUUUUUUAACUAGAGUUCCCAGGGUUCUUUGGGGAAAGUUAUGAGCUUUUAAAGUGGUAUGAUACUGAUUUGAAUGCACAGUGCAGAUGGGACCAUAUUUCUAGAGAGGCAUUGUAGGUUAUUGUUUUACUCUUAUUCAUUUGUUUGGUUUCAAUACUUCUUGGGAGCCAGCUUGGUGCAGUGGUUAAGAGCGGUGGACUCGUAAUCUGGUGAACCAGGUUCGCUUCCCCACUCCUCCACGUGCAGCUGCUGGGUGACCUUGGGCUAGUCACACUUCUCUGAAGUCUCUCAGCCCCACUCACCUCACAGAGUGUUUGUUGUGGGGGAGAAAGGGGAGUAAGUCGUAAAAAGUGUGAGUCACUUUUCAUGGGAAAAGAGGCAAAUAAAUAAUGUUGUUGUUGUUGUUGUUGUUGUUGUUGUUAAUUAACCACCCUUCACCCAGGGUGGGUCAUAAGAAUUUAAAAUACUAUAUAAACACAGUUGUAAAAAAAUCACAAUAAUAGGGUGGCUCCUACAAACACACCCACCCCUCAUGUGUCAAAGACCAAGGCCAAGAGGUUUGUCUUCCAGCAUAUGGUGAAAACUGUAGAGUGAAGGUACCAGUUGCAUCUCUGUCAGGAGGGCAACUGUCACAGAGCAUGCCCUCUCCCAGGCCACCAGGAGUGCCAGCUUGGCCCUGCAACAGUGGAUGCCUGGGACUGUGGGUGCCGUGUAGUGUGCAUGGCCCUGGAGCUGAAAUUUGUGGGUGUCUGGCCCCUUCAUGGGAAAAUUUGUGGGUGCUUAGACACCUGGGGCUCCAGGAAGCCAGCACCUAUGCAAGCCACACACCCUGAGCUCCUGAGAGCAAUGGAACUACCAAGAGAGCCUCCUCUGUGGAUCUCAGCACCUGAGAUAAUAGUAAUAUGCCACUGCACUGAGUACUGUAUCACUGAGCAACACACACAGCUUUUAGUGGAGAGUCAACCAGUAGCCGUAGUUAUAAAUAGCAAAAAUGGCCAUCUCAUCCUCAACUGACUUAACAUUAUGAUGUCUGGAAGGGCUUCCCAAAUGACCUACAUCGAUUUAGGACAACUGAGGAUCUGGAGGCAUUCACAACUGUGGUGUGCACCCUUGCGUGGCGAUGCUCAUCUGACUAAUCAUGCUGGAGGUAAUGGCAUCUUAGUGUAGGUUUAAAUUGAGUAAUAUUACCAUUAAUAACAGUGCUUAAUUAAGACAUCUAUAAUGUUUUUAAUGAGAAAAAAUUGAAAGUCCUUCUGGAUUUUUUCCAGUCAAAUUAAUAUUGAGGACUUUAGACAUUAUUACAAGUGGCAUUACAGGAAUUAAAAUUAGGUUUAAAUUAAGAGGUGUCACUUUGCUUUUUUUAAGAAAAAAAAUUAAAAAUAAACCCAGAGCUUUUUGGAGCUAUAUUAAGUACUUACGCUCUUAAGUCAGGGAAAUUACCUAAUACAAUUUGCAAGGUGUAUCACUAUAAAGGGGUGUCAUUAUAGAGUACUAUGAGGAGAGAGGCUCAGUCACAUCUCCCAGGAAAGGUUCCAGAAAGAUCUGUAAGCAAGGUGAGCUUUGCAAGUGUCCUCUGACCAGUAUACAACCAAGGCAAGUAUGAGCCAGUCAUCUGGUGAUGUCAUCACAUCCUGUGGAGAGGAGACGUAUAUUUCAAACACAUCCAACCCACACUAAAAUCACAUGACACCCCUCUAAGAAUCCUAGGAACUAUCAUUUCUCCUUCACAGAGCUAUAAUUCCCAGCACCCUUAAAAAAACAAGCGUCUCUAUUAUUCUUUGGGGGAAAUCAUGUCUUUUAAAGGUGGGUCAGAUAUACUUUUAAUCUAUGGAGUGUUUUAAAUCUAUGGAGUGUAUUUAAAUCUAUGGAGUGUAUUUAAAUCUAUGGAGUGUAUUUUGGGUCAUUAAAGCAGAUUUUGGAGUACAGAAUGGGAAGCUAAGCUCCAUUCCUGCUGCUGCUAGUUGUGACACUUCCAGAAAAGGACAAAACUCAGCUUUUCCUGGUUUCUGUUUUUUCCAACCUUUAAGUGCAGCUCACUACAUUUCUACAUGAGAUAGUGAUUGUUAUAAACUUUUUUUUAAAAAAAAAAAAUAACCACCACAACCCUACAAGCUCCUACAAAAAUGAAACUGCUGUAAACUUGUUUACAGUUCCUGGUCCAGAUGACAUACUUAGCUAAACUGUGGCUUAGCAUUCUGCAGCACAGUAGCAGAACUCAUGAGGGAGCACAUUCUUCUCUCUGGAAGCCCCCCCUCUCAUGCACUCAUGGCUUGGCUUAUCAUGGGGGUGGGGGGUGGGCAGGACUGAAUCUGGCUAGUGGUCCAGAUCCCUACACUCCCAUGGGAUUGUUUUUAACCGCUUUUAAUAUUGCGUUAGGGUGAAGAAAGGGUAAGAAAUGAUGGUGAUAUGUAACAACUUGAAAGGGGCUCACCUUUGCAAAUGAUUUGCAAGUGGUUUUAAUUUAAAAAAAUUAAACACAGACUUCAGCAUUAUGACAGCCAUGCCUUUAUCUGCCUCUAGGUACAACAGUUGGGGUAGUUUGGGGUAAAUGGCCUGCCAGACUGAAGUGGGCCCACCCCUGGAUUAGCAUUAUGUACAAAAUGGGUCUUUGCUACCUCACAGGUCACUGUGUAACUAUUGGGGUAGAGCAGCACAUGAUGCAGGUCUCUGCCCCCCCCGCCCCCUGCUCCUCCUCCUCUUCUUCUUCUUCGACAAAUGCAUCAAUGAAAGGGGGAAUGGAAACAAGAGGUGGCAGAAAACUACUCGGAAACCACUGCAAAAGCCAAAAAAUGGCAUUUGAAAUCCUUAAUGUUCAGGCCCAACUGCUGCCUCUUACCCCAUUGUCAGAAAAAAUCAUUCUGAAAUCAAUUAAUUUCCUUUUGCAUUUUCUCUUGCACAGACACCAUUUCCAGUACAUUCUUGGAAUAAUGAGCCUGGG